CAGCAGCCACGGUAAUACAGAGGAUGCAAGCGUUAUCCGGAAUGAUUGGGCGUAAAGCGUCUGUAGGUGGCUUUUCAAGUCCGCCGUCAAAUCCCAGGGCUCAACCCUGGACAGGCGGUGGAAACUACCAAGCUGGAGUACGGUAGGGGCAGAGGGAAUUUCCAGUGGAGCGGUGAAAUGCGUUGAGAUCGAAAAGAACACCAACAGCGAAAGCACUCUGCUGGGACGACACUGACACUAAGAGGCGAAAGCUAGGGGAGCAAAUGGGAUUAGAUACCCCUGUAGUCCCUGUCUCUUAUAC
This 301-nucleotide ribosomal RNA is filed under the name uncultured bacterium. RNAcentral describes it as "partial 16S ribosomal RNA". It matches the Rfam family "Bacterial small subunit ribosomal RNA", at positions 509 to 807 of the family's 1533-position model. The record is from RNAcentral.